RNAcentral lists this ribosomal RNA (490 nucleotides) under uncultured bacterium. RNAcentral describes it as "partial 16S ribosomal RNA". It matches the Rfam family "Bacterial small subunit ribosomal RNA", at positions 30 to 507 of the family's 1533-position model. The record is from RNAcentral.
AUUGAACGCUGGCGGCAUGCUUUACACAUGCAAGUCGGACGGCAGCACAGAGAAGCUUGCUUCUUGGGUGGCGAGUGGCGAACGGGUGAGUAAUAUAUCGGAACGUACCGAGUAAUGGGGGAUAACUAAUCGAAAGAUUAGCUAAUACCGCAUAUUCUCUGAGGAGGAAAGCAGGGGACCCUCGGGCCUUGCGUUAUUCGAGCGGCCGAUAUCUGAUUAGCUAGUUGGUGGGGUAAAGGCCUACCAAGGCGACGAUCAGUAGCGGGUCUGAGAGGAUGAUCCGCCACACUGGGACUGAGACACGGCCCAGACUCCUACGGGAGGCAGCAGUGGGGAAUUUUGGACAAUGGGCGCAAGCCUGAUCCAGCCAUGCCGCGUGUCUGAAGAAGGCCUUCGGGUUGUAAAGGACUUUUGUCAGGGAAGAAAAGGCUGUUGCUAAUAUCGACAGCUGAUGACGGUACCUGAAGAAUAAGCACCGGCUAACUACGUG